Molecule: ribosomal RNA, 253 nt
Filed under: uncultured bacterium
Lineage: Bacteria
Description: partial 16S ribosomal RNA
Rfam family: Bacterial small subunit ribosomal RNA
Source: RNAcentral
UACGUAGGGGGCAAGCGUUGUCCGGAUUUACUGGGCGUAAAGGGCUCGUAGGCGGCCAACUAAGUCAGACGUGAAAUCCCUCAGCUUAACUGGGGAACUGCGUCUGAUACUGGAUGGCUUGGAUCCGGGAGAGGGAUGCGGAAUUCCAGGUGUAGCGGUGAAAUGCGUAGAUAUCUGGAGGAACACCGGUGGCGAAGGCGGCAUCCUGGACCGGUAUUGACGCUGAGGAGCGAAAGCCAGGGGAGCAAACGGG